AAGAAUCAAGUCUCGGGAUGUGACCCAGGUCUGAAUGUUUUCCACACAAAAAACAUGGAUUGCUGUGGGGGCACAAAGAAGUUGUCGGCAGGGAAAGGAAGGCAAAAAGAAUCCUGUUAAUUCAUCCACCAAUGACAC
This 138-nucleotide long non-coding RNA is filed under the name Chrysemys picta bellii (western painted turtle). Its description in RNAcentral is "lncRNA (ENSCPBG00000020086.1)". The record is from RNAcentral. Lineage: Eukaryota; Metazoa; Chordata; Testudines; Emydidae.